RNAcentral lists this ribosomal RNA (402 nucleotides) under bacterium. Its description in RNAcentral is "partial 16S ribosomal RNA". It matches the Rfam family "Bacterial small subunit ribosomal RNA", at positions 355 to 776 of the family's 1533-position model. The record is from RNAcentral.
UGGGGAAUUUUGCACAAUGGGGGAAACCCUGAUGCAGCGACGCCGCGUGAUUUAGAAGGCCUUCGGGUUGUAAAAAUCUUUUCUAUGGGAAGAAAAUGACAGUACCAUAGGAAUAAGGACCGGCUAAUUACGUGCCAGCAGCCGCGGUAAUACGUAAGGUCCGAGCGUUGUCCGGAAUCAUUGGGCGUAAAGGGUACGUAGGCGGGUAAGCAAGUUAGAAGUGAAAUCCUAUAGCUCAACUAAAGUAAGCUUUUAAAACUGCUCAUCUUGAGGUAUGGAAGGGAAAGUGGAAUUCCUAGUGUAGCGGUGAAAUGCGCAGAUAUUAGGAGGAAUACCGGUGGCGAAGGCGACUUUCUGGCCAUAACCUGACGCUGAGGUACGAAAGCGUGGGUAGCAAACAGG